This is a long non-coding RNA of Heterocephalus glaber (naked mole-rat), 1027 nucleotides long. The record is from Ensembl. NCBI's taxonomy places the organism in Eukaryota, Metazoa, Chordata, Mammalia, Rodentia, Bathyergidae.
GUGCUGACUGGAGAUGUCCCCCAGAGUGGCCACUGCCAGGACCACACGUUCUGGGCCUGUCAGCAAGGCAGUGCUGGGCACAGCUGCACGUCAGCACUGAAGGUAAUAGAAGUGGCUCCAUAGUCCAUCCAGAUGGGAGUGGUGGUGUCUCAGAGCCUGGCCAAGUGAGAAGCAAGGAGCAAGAAGUGCUGGACAAGUGCUGUGACACUGCAGGCUGGCUCUCCAACAUCUCCUAAGUGAGUCCUGGCAAGGACUCAGAUCCUGUGCUCGUCAUCAAAACUACCCUCAGGAGCCCAGUGGCCAUGGAGUAUGCUCUGCCUCCCCUGUGUAAUCUACAGCGGACCAUGAGUGGUCACCAAGAGAAACCUGGUCUCUGCCUCUCCAGCCCAACUGACCGUUCCACCGAAGCCUCUUGACAGCAUCUUCUCCACAGAGCCUGACUGGCCCCAGCUGGUGUCUCUUGUACUCAGUGACCUCCGUGUCAGAAUGGGCACCUGUAUGGCCAUGAGCCUUCUGGCUGGAGUGGAAAGGGCCCCCAUGAGCCCUGAACACAUCAACUUAGAGGUGUCUCAGCCUCACAUCCUACUCCAGACUCAGGGCCCUGGAGUUGUUCCCUUCGAAGCAAAAGCCACAUCUGCAACAUGUGGUGCCGUUGGUCCUGCAUACAGUCUAUUCUCUGCUCAGCUCUGCACUCAGAGCAGAGGCAACUCACAAGGCUCAGAACUGAGAAUAGUGAGUGAUCGCUGUUAUGGUUUGGGUCUAUAUGUCCCCCCAAAGCCUCAUGCAGUCAUAGGUGGCUUAUUCAGAGGUGGCUGAAUCUAGAGUGUGUGAUAGUAGGAUUAAGGGGAUGUGAUUACUAAACCAGUACACUGAUUGGUUUGGCAUCACCCUAAUCCUGGUAGUCUGGAUAGGAUAAAAGGCCCAGAAAGACGCUUUUAAGGUCCUCUUGUUGCGUGUGCUACCAUAUGGGUACGAUGAACUGUUUCUCCUCAGCCAUGUGCCACUCUGCCUUGGAGCCAGCCAAUUA